GACUUUCGCCAUUGUUUGCACUGCUAACGCUGUUAGCACCGCCGUCGCCAUCCUCCAAAUAAAGUGGUUUAGAUAAUCUGGAUAAACUGUUGGUUUGUUUCCAACCUGAUGUUCCAACACCAAAGCUGUGGAAAAAAAAAACAAGUUGUAAUAAAUUGUAAUUAUCCUUUACGAGUAGAAAUGUAAAUGAAGUUGUACUAAUAGAUGCCAUAUUUCUAACGUUUCCCUGUUGUAAAUCACAGUAACUGUCAGUCAUUUAUUUAUGAUAUUAAUCGAUCGCAACGGUGGCAAAAAAAUAUUGAAAAACAGUAAUGAAAGCGUAUACUUGUCAAGUGUAAAAAAUCUCGAGUUCAAUGUUCUCUGUGUUGUUUUUCAGAACUCAUUCAUGUGUUGUCCUUGACUUUAAAAAAAAAAAAAAAAAAGGCGGACUAUUUUUAAAAGUCAACAUGAAGUAGUCCGAUUGUUUCUCCAGUAUUAUCGACCGUCUGCAGAUGAAUGCAGUCAUGAAGGCUCUAGAGGACUAUCGGGGUGAUAAUGCCUGAUUAAGCCCUUUUAAUAGAAAUCAUAUACUUUACAUCACAGCUAAUCAUUCUGCAAAUCAUGCUGGAAAUUUACUGUCUUUACUGUUCAGUGGAUUCCAUUCAUCUCUGUCGGGGAAAAUCAAUUAGCGGACUCUUGAGUUUUGUAAUUAAUCAGAGCAUGCCUGACUGAUAUAUACCGGCCAAUAUUAGCUUAUUGCAGCUAUAUAUAGUAGGUAUCAAAGUAUACUUGGGACCCCUUGCAGGGGAGAACAUUUUCCGAGGACCCCCUCUGAAUCGUAACAAGGAUUAAGCAUAAUGAUUACUACCAUUUGUACUCUUAGAUGCCAUAGGAGCUAUUUGUAUUCUAAAACUUUUCAACCGACUUGUUUCAUAGCGAUAAAAAGAAACACAUUCCAAUUUGAAUCAUGUUAAGAUAAGAUGAGAUAAUCUUUUAUUAGUCCCAGAGAGGGGGAAUUUGCAAUGUUAUUGAAUGUUAAUACCAAUUAUAUACCUUUUAAACAGAGGGUGAUUUUAUUCAAUCUGCAUUUGGACUCAACUUGACAGCAUUUAUAGCCUCCAUUUCAACUAAUAGAUCUUAAAAGCUUCCAGAAAAUGAACAAUAGCAAGGCUGGCAUAGUCCUAAUAAAUCUAGACAUUUAAAUUUACCAGUCUAAAGCUGACUGUCAGUGCUUUAACUUAACCAUAAUGACCUUAUUGCUCUGUGUCACAAUCAUUUCAGAGUUUCUAUUGGCCCAAAGGUGAUGUGGGUGGGAUUAUUGGACACAAUGUGCUUGGUUUUAUUGGCGCAAAUGUUCCCCAUCUAUAGAUGCACACUUUUUAAUGACACAGCACAAUUUUAUAAUGUAUAGAAAAUUAUUUCGCGAACCCCCUGACAGAUUGCCAAAGACCCCACUUUGAGAAUUACUGGUGUAAUGGAUUACACAACUCAAGCAAGUUUCAAGGGAUCGCUAAUUGACUUUCAAAUCAAUGGAGAUAAAUGGCUGCCUUGGGUGAAAACGUCUGAACACACUAGUAUGGUCCUUUUAAUAAAGACCAGAGCAUAUUUCUUCUUUUUGUAACAGAAAUAUGGCUAUAAUCUUCCUCUAACCACUAGGGAAUAUUCUGCAUUCCCCCAUAAAUAGACAGUAAAAAUGUCCACUCUUAACACUCAUCACCUGUGAAUGACUGAGCCUGUGUUUCUGUUCAGUAUUUAGUAUUGUACUGUUUUAUUAUUGCAGUUCAGCUGAACAAAGGUGUUUCUAACAUUGAUUGAAAACAAACGUGUUGCUUUCAUGUCACUCUGCUGUUGCUGUACAGUAUAUUCAACUUUGUUUUUUUUUAUUCCACGUGCUCUUUGAAGGGUAAAACUUGAGUAAAUACGUACAGUAGAAAUUAAAGAAACAGUUGAACAUGUUGAAGUAAUAA
Long non-coding RNA from Sebastes umbrosus (honeycomb rockfish), 1946 nucleotides. RefSeq lists it as uncharacterized. The record is from RefSeq and is a predicted model, not a curated record. NCBI's taxonomy places the organism in Eukaryota, Metazoa, Chordata, Actinopteri, Perciformes, Sebastidae. The transcript is spliced from 2 exons.